This 466-nucleotide ribosomal RNA is filed under the name uncultured Rhodoferax sp. RNAcentral's name for it is "bacterial SSU rRNA". It matches the Rfam family "Bacterial small subunit ribosomal RNA", at positions 916 to 1381 of the family's 1533-position model. Lineage: Bacteria; Pseudomonadati; Pseudomonadota; Betaproteobacteria; Burkholderiales; Comamonadaceae. The record is from RNAcentral.
ACGGGACCCGCACAAGCGUGGAUGAUGUGGUUUAAUUCGAUGCAACGCGAAAACCUUACCCACCUUUGACAUGUACGGAACCCUUUAGAGAUAGAGGGGUGCUCGAAAGAGAGCCGUAACACAGGUGCUGCAUGGCUGUCGUCAGCUCGUGUCGUGAGAUGUUGGGUUAAGUCCCGCAACGAGCGCAACCCUUGUCAUUAGUUGCUACAUUCAGUUGGGCACUCUAAUGAGACUGCCGGUGACAAGCCGGAGGAAGGUGGGGAUGACGUCAAGUCCUCAUGGCCCUUAUAGGUGGGGCUACACACGUCAUACAAUGGCUGGUACAAAGGGUUGCCAACCCGCGAGGGGGAGCCAAUCCCAUAAAGCCAGUCGUAGUCCGGAUCGUAGUCUGCAACUCGACUACGUGAAGUCGGAAUCGCUAGUAAUCGUGGAUCAGAAUGUCACGGUGAAUACGUUCCCGGGUCUU